AAACUUAUAACUGUAAAAAUUACCAGGUUUUCUAAUUUGAUGACACAUGGAAACUUGAUGUAUGCAGAAGUAAUUGAUAAAGUGUUUUCCUGCUGGAGCAACAAGUUAAAUGGAAACUGUGACACAGAUCAUAAGUUGAGCAAAACUAUUUUAGGAGUAUUGGACUUCAUAUAUUCCUUUGUAUUACUUGAACAAGGGAAAAACAGCAUGACUAUAUAAACUCUGUAAUCUGCAAAACAAUUUUGUAGUUUUGAGUGGCAGAAAUGUCUUAAAAACACUGCUUGCUGAAAAUUCUUGUGAUUUUUGUAGCCUUGACAUUAAUGAUACAGCUCUUAAAGAGUAUUUUAGCUGAAAAGCCUUGCCUGACAUCUUUAUAAAAAUACAUAGCUUCAAUGAGAGUCUCUUGUCUAGAUUUGGAGAAAAACCAAACAGCGCUGUUGAAUAAGUGCCAAUACUAAAAUUGAUCAGAAAAUCUACAUAACUGAUAAGAUUAUGACUUGUACCAAUUUAAUAUUAAUUUAUUGUUAACAUUUAUGAAACUUAUAGACUGAAAUGGUAUGAACUACAGUAGUAGCUGCCACUGUGGUAUGAAAUAUUCAUAAACAACUGGGAAGGUUUGAAUUUACACUCCUGAGGAGCUUGAUCUGCAUAAGAGAUUAUAAUACAGAUUCUUUGAGCAAAUUUACCACAGAUAUUUAAUUGUUUCACUGGACACAGCUAGGCUUUAGAAAGGACAAAAGGAUUGUUUUCUAGACAUGGAUAAGCAAUAAGUAACCAGCUGCUUUCCAGAGAGAAGUGGAAUUAAAUUGAAAGGAGUAAAAAUUAUCAACCUCUUUGCAGUUGUGAUUCCUGAAUUACUGAUAUCAGUUUAGUGUCCACAUCAUUCAUCUCCUAUUGUUUGGUUUUGAAUUUGCAUUUUUUCCUAACAGAAAACAAUUUUCUGAAAAACUAAGUGAAUUCAUAUGAAUUAUUUUACUAAUGACAGGAAAAAAAUGUGGGAUGGGAGUCAUUCUUCUUACUUUAUAAAUAUGCUUAUUUUUCUGGUCUGGCAUUAAAACUUGAAAAUUAUUCAGAUAUGCUUUUAAGAGUCAAAUUCCCCUUUAGUAGAGUAUCUCAAUAAUAGAUCAUAUAUAUAAACUCAAGAUGGUUUACAUUUUAUACUAAUAUCUUUUCCAUUUUUAAUGCAGACAUCUAUGUGGGAUGCCUACCAUAUGUAUUACCUCAAAUCAGUUGGUGUCCACAUGGUGAGGACUAAGUGAACCAUGUUACAAUGCAAAAAGAAAUAGAUAAGUUAAAAUAUUUUUAGAAGUUUGGAUAUAUAUUGGCUGGGAUCCCUGUAAAAAGGUAUGCAUCUAACUUGACAGAUAGUGCUACUCUCUGGUUUUAAGGUGGUGGAAAAGUACUUUGAGCCAUGCUACUGCAGGUAAGGCUUGUACCCAAUUUCUACUUUAUUUACAGGGCUUUUUAAAAAGAUAUUAAUAAGUUUACUGUACAAAACCUACAGUUAUAUGGGGGUGGAGAAUUGGACUGAGUGUAACCACAUUCAGUAAAGUUAAGUAAUGAAAACCAAACGCAGCUAACGUGCUGUUCUGGGGUAGGCAGAAGAAAAGAUACUAUAAACAUAUUUUAUUUAACACAUGAGUACAUUAAAAUUUAGUAUUGCUUUUCACUGCAGAAAUUCUAGGGCCUGGUAUUAGUAUUUAGAGCUGUAUAGUAACCAUUUAAUGCUAUAAUUUUAAGUGUGUAUCUUUCUUUUACCUUAGCGUAAGAAAAAUCUAUGUUUAUCAAUUAUGUGUCUAAAUGAUAUUUAAUGAAGUUUAUAAGUCUUGGAGAAAUAAUAGGUUAAUAUUCUUAUGCUUAGAUAGGUGCCCAUAAAAAGAAUUUCCAUGGGUUUCUUCCUGCCUUUAGCCAAAGCAAUAUCUCUGUGUUGUGUUAUUUUCCUUUCAGUAAUUCCUGAUGCAGGAAUAAUAGGAUAAACAUGACAGAGAGUGCUGAUCAAAAACUUGUGCCUCUUAACAGGGCUUAGCUUUGCAGGGUCUGUUUCUUUGUUUAACCCCAGCAUCAUAAAGAGCAUGAAAUCACAGGUUUGGAGAUUAAUUACUUGAAGAGAUCUUCCUGUGUUGCAGAAAUGCCUUUGCAGGUCUCCAGUACUUUAUCUUGGUCCAAGUUACAAUAUCUCGGUAUCCCAGUGGCAUCUCAGGUCAUUCCUGGAGUCCCUGUCAUUACCAGUGCGUUCUUGUUCUUCUGUAGAGAAUUAAUGCAAAAUGAAAAUUAAGGAUGAUUGUUUAGUGUCAAAUGGUUUUUGAAAGGAUUUUGCAUCUUUUGAGCUCAGUUAGUUAGCUGGCUGGCUGGUUGUUUAAAAUCUGCAUUUUUAAACUGACUGUUGACCAAAAAACAUUUUAAAAUAGCAGAUCAAUCUGUAAUGCAUUUACUUGAACAAGAAUUUCUUAAAUUUCUCAGGAGUUAUCCUUCAUCUACCUGGAUCCCCUGCUGUAUUUUAGGAAGAGUUUAUUCACUCACUAAGACAGUGGUUUUUUUCAACAUUUUAAAAACCAGUAACCAGAAUGCAGUUCUGCUUACUGCAGCUGAAGUCUGUUGCAGCAUUUCCUACAGCCUGUCUCUAGCAAGCAGUGGUUAUGUUAAUAUCUGAUGACAUUUAGGGCUAAUUUACACCAAUACACAAGCCAGAUUCCAUGUCUAACAUUUUAGAUUCUGGAAAAGGAAAUUCUGGGCUCUUUAACAUUCUAGAAAAGCAAUGUGUUGUUCGUUCUUGCAGUUCUUCAGAUCCCUAAAGCCUCUGUAACAGAAUUUUCUCUGAAGGAGGAAGCCAGUGGAGCAUCUGUAAACUUUUCUGUGUGGCAUGACUAGUCCCAGGCUGGUGUUCUGUCGUUGGUGUUCUCUCUGUAGCUGCAGAGGAAUGCAAGUAGGCUUGCUACCUGCCCUGGGGAGAACAGAGCAGUUGGAAACCAGAGCAUGACCCAUUGUACUCUCCUGAAUCCCCUCCCAGACAGUUCCUUUAAACCCUUUAAGAUUACAAAGAGAGAAGUUAUACUUGAUUCACUGCUCAGACCAGUGCUGCACUUUAUCUCCUGUGUAUUUGCUUUUAAAAACUUUUUUGUGGCUAAACUGUUAAAGAUAGCAUUGUGGAGGCUCUCAGUUCAGCCAAAGAGAGAACAGAGGAUUCCCCCAGGCUUCAGGCCUGGAAAACUUGGAGAGAAAGAAUUUAAACAAUUGUUAUAUCUCUUUCUGUUCAUGUUGUUUAUAGGUAUGUUCUACCACAGUGUGCUAUUCAUGGAUCACCAUUGGUGUGAAAGGUUUUUACUUUGACAUCAAUGAAGUCUCACUUUAGCAAUCCUAGUUAUAAAAACACACUACUUCUUAAAAAUAAGCCCUCUUUUUCACCUUCUGUAAUUUAAAAUAGUUUCAUCCCAUUGCUAACUCAACAACAUUAAAUGUGGCUAAGUUCUGUCUCUUGUUCUAGUGCUGAGUUACUAAUGUUGUCCCAGAUGACAGCAGGUCUGUUUUUUCCUGUGGUUCUCUUCUUCAAGUGCAACUAUCAGAAUACCAUUAACAGGAGUCAAGAGCAUUAGAUGAAGCAGAUCAAAAUGGACAACAUGACAUGCCAGCAUGGAUCAGGAAGGGGACAUCCUGAAACAAGAAGCCACAAAGUAUGUAAAACAAUGUGCUUCAGAUUAGACUUUUCUAAAUGCCCUUCAUCACAGCAGUGCUGAAUGUUCUGUCUGGCAGUUCAUAUUGAGCUGUCUUUGAAAUUCGAGUGAUGUACAUGAUCCUUAAAUAUGGGCCAGUUGGGUACAUCAGUACUGACUGUUCAUAAACCCAAAGCAAACACAUCAUUCAUCUUCUAUUAGUUUUUGUCAAGUUAUAGAGAACAGCAAAAGUUAUCUGUAGCAUAGGAGUAUAAAUCCACAGUCUUCACCAAAUUUCCUUUUGUAGAAUUUUCUGGACAGGGCCAAGUAAUCCAAAUAAUCAGAGCACUAAUUUGUUAUUUUUUUCUCUUGGCAUAUUCAUUUUUUUUUCAUUACAGAUAUACAGAAAUUUAUUAUCUGUAUUUUUAAGUACCAAAGAUGAUAGCCAUAAAAGUUUUGAAAAACUUAAUUUUGAACAAUUUUCCAAUUUUUCUAUGUCAAGAGUUAAUGAAAUUUAUUAUUUAAAUGAUUCCAUUUUAUCUAAGAUACAGGUAAGGUAGACAUUUUUGUAUACCAGGAAUUGUAGGAAAAGACUGAAUGCAACAAAUAUAAUUUGUAAUAAUGUACUGGAUUACAAAUUAUAGCUGUAUUACUAAAAA
Non-coding RNA from Taeniopygia guttata (zebra finch), 4306 nucleotides. The record is from RefSeq and is a predicted model, not a curated record. Lineage: Eukaryota; Metazoa; Chordata; Aves; Passeriformes; Estrildidae.